AUAAUAAACAAAUAAACAAAGGAUAUGGUUCUUACAAUAUAAGAGAUAAAUAAAAUUCUACUUGUUGCAAGUUUAGGAGAAAAAUAUGACUAAAAUUAUUAAGUUUGUUCAUGUGAUGAUCCUCUUUAUUUUGUUAUUUUUUGUUGUAACUAACGUUAAUGGAAAGUGGCCAAGUUGCAAAGAAGCUAUUGAUUGUGGAAUAAACUUUUGCAUUCGUCCUUUCAAAGCAAAAUGCAUGAUGUUCACUUGUUUUUGUGUUCAAAAUCCAUGAUGUUCCAAAUUGUAUGUCACUUUAGAAAAAAUAUUUAUCUCAAAUUGUAUGUCACUUUAGAAUAUUAAUGAAAUAUUAGUGUUAUCUUUUCUAUUAUAUCCUUAA
This is a long non-coding RNA of Medicago truncatula (barrel medic), 376 nucleotides long. RefSeq lists it as uncharacterized. The record is from RefSeq and is a predicted model, not a curated record. The transcript is spliced from 2 exons. Lineage: Eukaryota; Viridiplantae; Streptophyta; Magnoliopsida; Fabales; Fabaceae.